GAUGAAGAACGUAGUGAAAUGCGAUAAGUAAUGCGAAUUGCAGAAUUCAGUGAGUCAUCGAAUCUUUGAACGCACAUUGCGCCCGCUAGUAUUCUGGCGGGCAUGCCUGUCCGAGCGUCAUUUCAACCCUCAAGCCCCCGGGCUUGGUGUUGGGGAUCGGCGAGCCUCCGCGCCCGCCGUCCCCUAAAUCUAGUGGCGGUCUCGCUGUAGCUUCCUCUGCGUAGUAGCACACCUCGCACUGGGAAACAGCGCGGCCACGCCGUUAAACCCCCAACUUCUGAACGUUUGACCUCGGAUCAGGUAGGAAUACCCGCUGAACUUAAGCAUAUCAAUAAGCGGAGGA
Molecule: unclassified non-coding RNA, 343 nt
Filed under: soil metagenome
Description: partial contains 5.8S ribosomal RNA, internal transcribed spacer 2, and large subunit ribosomal RNA
Rfam family: 5.8S ribosomal RNA (bases 1-120)
Source: RNAcentral